CCGGGAUGUGCCCCGGGAGCGGCGGCAUCUUUUCUGCCCCGAUACCGCUUUGGAGACCCCAAGGCCUGGCUGAGGUGCCAGACUCACUCCUGGCCGAGCUCCGGCCUCGCUGGGUAGUGAAGGUAACAGAUACAUGCAUGGACAGAACCUUGUGAAAAAGAAAUCUACCAGAAGAUUGGUCCAUCAACUCAUUGCUAAGGUCCUCUGCCACUGAGGGGAUACACAAAAGAAACUGGGAGAGAGCAUAGCUGGGACAGGUGACCCAGACUGACCAAAGUGAUAUUCCACACCAAAGAACAUCAUGCCUGGCAUAUAAACUGGGGGAAGUUGCCUGGAAGGGAGGAUUAUCUGUGUUCAGGAAGGGGAGUCUGGUAUUGGUCAGCAGAUGUAAUUAGACCCUACUGGUCUAUGAAGAUAAGAAAAUUUCACUGUGUUGGAAACCGUGAAGGAGAGUCCAGUUGGGCAUUUUUUUACCUUUCCUUGGAGGCAGAAUUGAAUUACAGCCAAAAUCAGUGAUCUUUACUACCAUGCGAUUGUCUACUACACAGUUUGUGGAUUUGAGUCGACCAUGGACUUCAGUUUUGCUUGAGUGCAGCAGCUUCAAACAAGGACAUACCAAGGGGAAUAUUUGAAAGAUGUUUCAGAUCCACUGACAACAUGGCAUGUUAUGGGGCCCAAGGGAUGGAUGAGAAUGGGACUGGAGCAACAUCAAGAAGACAGGAGCCAGAAAGCACAGAGCUCAUGGAGCUGAGUCAGCUCUUCUCAGAGCCCCCUGAAUCUGCACAGUGAUGUGUCCUCUCCCCAGCUCCUUGCAAGAAGGAUAAAGGGGCAAGCAGGUACAUGCUUCAUGCUCCAUCAGAUGCUCCAUCAGAUAACAGAAAUACAGAGUCAGAUAACUCAUCAUAACCUUAAUUCUGCUGCCUUUCCCGAACAGUCUUCCAAGCGGUUCACAUCACUACCACCUUAUAGUGAAGAUUAUUUGUUUGGGGGUGACUUUCUGUGAAAUACCCCAUGGUAUUUCCCAUAAUCACUGGUACAGGAUCAAGUUUGCAAGAGACUUAGUAGUCUCUUACUAAACAGAAAUAAACAGAAAUAAAGGUUUUGAACUGGACUGGAGGCAGAGAAUGUGGGGGGAUGAGGCAGGAGAAAGAAAGAUGCUAUUCUGCACCCAGCUGAAAGCAUGCUGGAUCAUACAGCAGGUAGAUCUCAGGACUGUGUGACUCGUCUUCAAAGAGGUAGGUGGUAAGUUUAAUGGGUGCCUCACCAGUGUCUGGAGUAUCACUGGGCAGCCUGUGGUUCUUCCAGAUAAAAUCAGGACUGUUA
Poecile atricapillus (Black-capped chickadee) is the source of this 1323-nucleotide long non-coding RNA. RefSeq lists it as uncharacterized. The transcript has 6 exons. The record is from RefSeq and is a predicted model, not a curated record. Lineage: Eukaryota; Metazoa; Chordata; Aves; Passeriformes; Paridae.